CCUACGGGUGGCUGCAGUGGGGAAUAUUGGACAAUGGGGGGAACCCUGAUCCAGCCAUGCCGCGUGUGUGAAGAAGGCCCUCGGGUUGUAAAGCACUUUCAGGGAGGAAGAACGCCUGGUGGUUAAUACCCAUCAGGAAAGACAUCACUCACAGAAGAAGCACCGGCUAACUCCGUGCCAGCAGCCGCGGUAAUACGGAGGGUGCGAGCGUUAAUCGGAAUUACUGGGCGUAAAGCGCGCGUAGGUGGCUUGAUAAGCCGGUUGUGAAAGCCCCGGGCUCAACCUGGGAACGGCAUCCGGAACUGUCAAGCUAGAGUGCAGGAGAGGAAGGUAGAAUUCCCGGUGUAGCGGUGAAAUGCGUAGAGAUCGGGAGGAAUACCAGUGGCGAAGGCGGCCUUCUGGACUGACACUGACACUGAGGUGCGAAAGCGUGGGUAGCAAACAGGAUUAGAUACCCGUGUAGUC
This 465-nucleotide ribosomal RNA is filed under the name Vreelandella stevensii. Its description in RNAcentral is "partial 16S ribosomal RNA". It matches the Rfam family "Bacterial small subunit ribosomal RNA", at positions 338 to 795 of the family's 1533-position model. The record is from RNAcentral. Lineage: Bacteria; Pseudomonadati; Pseudomonadota; Gammaproteobacteria; Oceanospirillales; Halomonadaceae.